UGUUUUGACAGAAAAAUGAACUUCUGUUGUAUAUUUGUAUACAUAAUUGAACAUUUUGAUAAGAUUUAAGAAAAGUACAUAACUUUGUGGUGUUGGGAAACUUAUUUCCCUCACCAGGAGAUUGUUGCAUACAUGUACGGGUGAUCACUUCCAGACAGAGGUAGUAACAAUAUCUGUACGGGAAUGAGGAUUAUUUAUAAGACUGAAAUUAUUGUAUUAUUUGCUGGAAAUGUGGAAUAUGAGGAAUUUAAAGCCAUUCGUGAGAAGUUUUUGAUGAUUCAGCUGGACAAAUGCUGGAAAUUAUACAGUUUUCUCCCACCUUAAAACAGUACAUGGUAUAUCAUGGACACCAAAAGCAAACUAUAAAGAUCUAAAUGCCAUAAUUUUGUGCAUCUUGAAAACUGGAAAGGCGGAUCACUUUGAAGCAGAUGAUAGUGAUAGUGUUUAAAAGAAUUCUUUGCGACAGUUAUACCAGUUGGAACAGAUAAAAGAUACAUCAGAUGACAGACUUACAUAUAGAGGAGCCUAUAAUUAGAGAAAUGGAUCAACUUGAUUUUGAAGUUAACCUACUGCAUUAAUAUGAAAAUUCAUAAGUGACUGAGCUUAAAGAAAAUCACACAUGAAACUGUAACCAUGUUUGGGAGACUCAUACAACAGAACAUUUCAAUACCUAUUAAGUUUUUUAUGUAUAUGCUUGACUUUUGGUAAUAUUUUGGAAGUUACUUUAGUAAUUGAGAGACCUCAAUGUUGAAAAUGACAAUUUUGAUAGAGGACAAUUUUAAGAAUAUCAACUUAGUUGUUUAUGAAUCUUUAUCUUUUAAAAUAUUACUGGGUGUCUGAAAGAAUAUUUCAAACUUUGCUGAAACUAUUUAGAUAUUUAUCAUGUUUCAUGUGUUUAUAUAGGCAAAUAUUUAUACAUGUCAUUUAUGUUAUGCAAGGGUUUAUAUGAAUUUCUAAAAAGAUGUAUAUAUAUGUGUUGAUAAAAUAAGUUCCAAAUUAUUACAGAGUAACAGAAAAUGGGAUCAAUUUAUAUUAAAACAACUCUGUU
Long non-coding RNA from Mytilus trossulus (common blue mussel), 1048 nucleotides. RefSeq lists it as uncharacterized. Lineage: Eukaryota; Metazoa; Mollusca; Bivalvia; Mytilida; Mytilidae. The transcript has 3 exons. The record is from RefSeq and is a predicted model, not a curated record.